CACAGGAAAGAAAUGAAGAGAAUAAAACCUUGUCUGCUCUUGAAAGUAAAACCUCUAAUAUUCGAUUCUUUUUCACCCGCUCCCUGUUGUGCCCUCUUGGCCUGAGUCCAUUCCUCAAGAAGAAAAGAAUAACAGUUAAACAUAACAUUGUCUACCACAUGCUACCAAAUCCUAAAUUUUGCUGCCUAGGCAAAAGCUUUGAAAGACAGGACCAACUAAACAGGUCCACUUGUGCGGGUGAUGGUGGUAAUGGAACCUGUGUGCCCAUCUUCUCCAGAUUUUGGGAUCUCCUCAAGGCAUUCUUGAGGUGAAAAUCUUCAAACGAUGCAAGAUGAAGAAAUGUUGGGGCAAGAGAACCAGCUUGAAAACUGAUGUACAUUCUGGAAAAAAAAAACGAAAAAGAAAAGAAAAAUUCUAAAACAAACUUGGGACGAAAGAUGCUUCACAUCACAACACAUCCAAGAGAGUAAAUACAUUAUUUAUUAUAUGCUUCUUCUAUCGAAAUAAGUUUCAACACAAGGACGUUUACCUUGUAUAAUUCUGACCUUUGAUAUUUGCUUCAUGCUACACGUGAAGCUUCUCAUUGAAAUAAUUGUCUCCAGAACUGGGUGGUGGAAGCAAUUGUGAUGUAGCAUUGCUACUUGGGAA
This is a long non-coding RNA of Anolis sagrei ordinatus, 648 nucleotides long. RefSeq lists it as uncharacterized. The record is from RefSeq and is a predicted model, not a curated record. Lineage: Eukaryota; Metazoa; Chordata; Lepidosauria; Squamata; Anolidae.